GGAUCCGUAGCUCAAUGGAAGAGCAGCGUGACGUCACAUAAAACAGGGAGAGCAAGGUUCCGGGUUCGAAUCCCGGCGGAUCCA
This 84-nucleotide transfer RNA is filed under the name Clostridiaceae bacterium OM08-6BH. It matches the Rfam family "tRNA". Rfam says of the family: Transfer RNA (tRNA) molecules are approximately 80 nucleotides in length. Their secondary structure includes four short double-helical elements and three loops (D, anti-codon, and T loops). Lineage: Bacteria; Bacillati; Bacillota; Clostridia; Eubacteriales; Clostridiaceae. The record is from Rfam by way of RNAcentral.